CUUGAUAUUUGAUACAACACGUUGUUGAACUAUAGCAUACCUGCAUUUUACACAUGUAACCAUCAGUAGUCAAUGACAGCUGAAGGAAAAUGCACGGAUGUUGUCGUAGGUACCACCUUAAUCUACACAUUUUGCCAGAAAUCAUGCAAACAUAAUAGUCCCUUAAAUUCUAUUUAAGAUGAAAUAGAAUCUGCUGAGAUUUACUAGGAU
Molecule: non-coding RNA, 210 nt
Organism: Pelobates cultripes (western spadefoot toad)
Lineage: Eukaryota; Metazoa; Chordata; Amphibia; Anura; Pelobatidae
Source: the annotation of a GenBank genome assembly